Molecule: ribosomal RNA, 256 nt
Filed under: uncultured bacterium
Lineage: Bacteria
Description: partial 16S ribosomal RNA
Rfam family: Bacterial small subunit ribosomal RNA
Source: RNAcentral
UACGUAGGUGGCAAGCGUUGUCCGGAUUUACUGGGCGUAAAGGGAGCGUAGGCGGAUACUUAAGUGGAAUGUGAAAUACCUGGGCUUAACUUGGGUGCUGCAUUCCAAACUGGGUGUCUAGAGUGUUGGAGAGGAAAGUGGAAUUCCUAGUGUAGCGGUGAAAUGCGUAGAGAUUAGGAAGAACACCAGUGGCGAAAGCGGCUUCCUGGACCAGAACUGACGAUCAGGCACGAAAGCCGUGGGGGAGCAAACAAGG